RNAcentral lists this ribosomal RNA (461 nucleotides) under uncultured bacterium. Its description in RNAcentral is "partial 16S ribosomal RNA". It matches the Rfam family "Bacterial small subunit ribosomal RNA", at positions 338 to 795 of the family's 1533-position model. The record is from RNAcentral.
CCUACGGGAGGCAGCAGUGAGGAAUAUUGGUCAAUGGACGCAAGUCUGAACCAGCCAUGCCGCGUGCAGGAUGACGGCUCUAUGAUUUGUAAACUGCUUUUGUACGAGGGUAAACCCCGAUACGUGUAUCGGGUUGAAAGGAUCGUACGAAUAAGGCACGGCUAACUCCGCGCCAGCAGCCGCGGUAAUACGGAGGAUCCGAGGGUUAACCGGAUUUAUUGGGUUUAAAGGGUGCGUAGGCUGGGAGGUAAGUUAGCGGGGAAAUGCCCCCGGUCAACGGGGUGAAGUGCCAUUGAUACUGGUUUGCUGGAGUGCGGAUGACGUGGGAGGAAUGUGUGGUGUAGCGGUGAAAUGCAUAGAUAUCACGAAGAACACCGAUUGCGAAGGCAUCUCACGAGUCCGCGAUUGACGCUGAUGCACGAAAGCGUGGGUAUCAAACAGGAUUAGAUACCCUUGUAGUC